AUUGAACGCUGGCGGCAGGCCUAACACAUGCAAGUCGGACGGUAGCACAGAGGAGCUUGCUCCUUGGGUGACGAGUGGCGGACGGGUGAGUAAUGUCUGGGAAACUGCCCGAUAGAGGGGGAUAACUACUGGAAACGGUAGCUAAUACCGCAUAACCUCGCAAGAGCAAAGUGGGGGACCUUCGGGCCUCACGCUAUCGGAUGUGCCCAGAUGGGAUUAGCUAGUAGGUGGGGUAAUGGCUCACCUAGGCAACGAUCCCUAGCUGGUCUGAGAGGAUGACCAGCCACACUGGAACUGAGACACGGUCCAGACUCCUACGGGAGGCAGCAGUGGGGAAUAUUGCACAAUGGGCGCAAGCCUGAUGCAGCCAUGCCGCGUGUAUGAAGAAGGCCUUCGGGUUGUAAAGUACUUUCAGCGGGGAGGAAGGCGGUGAGGUUAAUAACCUUACCGAUUGACGUUACCCGCAGAAGAAGCACCGGCUAACUCCGUGCCAGCAGCCGCGGUAAUACGGAGGGUGCAAGCGUUAAUCGGAAUUACUGGGCGUAAAGCGCACGCAGGCGGUCUGU
RNAcentral lists this ribosomal RNA (566 nucleotides) under uncultured Gammaproteobacteria bacterium. Its description in RNAcentral is "bacterial SSU rRNA". It matches the Rfam family "Bacterial small subunit ribosomal RNA", at positions 28 to 583 of the family's 1533-position model. Lineage: Bacteria; Pseudomonadati; Pseudomonadota; Gammaproteobacteria. The record is from RNAcentral.